GCCAGCAGCCAUAUCACCUUGCAACUCACAACUGGCUAAGCAGGUGUGAGCCUGGUAAGUACCUGGAUGGGAGACCUCCAGGGAAAAACUAAGGUUGCUGCUGGAA
RNAcentral lists this ribosomal RNA (106 nucleotides) under Lepisosteus oculatus (spotted gar). The record is from RNAcentral. Lineage: Eukaryota; Metazoa; Chordata; Actinopteri; Semionotiformes; Lepisosteidae.